GACGAACGCUGGCGGCGUGCUUAACACAUGCAAGUCGAACGGUGAAGCGCCUUCCUUUUUGGUGGGUGUGGAUGAGUGGCGAACGGGUGAGUAACACGUGAGUAACCUGCCCCCUUCUUCUGGAUAACCGCAUGAAAGUGUGGCUAAUACGGGAUAUUCUGGGUCUGUCGCAUGAUGGGUCUGGGAAAGAUAUUGUUUCGGUGGGGGAUGGGCUCGCGGCCUAUCAGCUUGUUGGUGGGGUGAUGGCCUACCAAGGCGGUGACGGGUAGCCGGCCUGAGAGGGUGGACGGUCACACUGGGACUGGGACACGGCCCAGACUCCUACGGGAGGCAGCAGUGGAGAAUAUUGCACAAUGGGCGCAAGCCUGAUGCAGCGACGCCGCGUGAGAGAUGGAGGCCUUCGGGUUGUGAACCUCUUUCGCCAGUGAAGCAGGCCUGCCUCGUUUGUGGGUGGGUUGACGGUAGCUGGAUAAGAAGCGCCGGCUAACUACGUG
RNAcentral lists this ribosomal RNA (494 nucleotides) under uncultured bacterium. RNAcentral's name for it is "partial 16S ribosomal RNA". It matches the Rfam family "Bacterial small subunit ribosomal RNA", at positions 28 to 507 of the family's 1533-position model. The record is from RNAcentral.